Molecule: ribosomal RNA, 449 nt
Filed under: uncultured bacterium
Lineage: Bacteria
Description: partial 16S ribosomal RNA
Rfam family: Bacterial small subunit ribosomal RNA
Source: RNAcentral
AACGAACGCUGGCGGCAUGCCUAACACAUGCAAGUCGAACGAGAUCUUCGGGUCUAGUGGCGCACGGGUGCGUAACGCGUGGGAAUCUGCCCUUAGGUUCGGAAUAACAGUUGGAAUCGACUGCUAAUACCGGAUGAUGACGAAAGUCCAAAGAUUUAUCGCCAGAGGAUGAGCCCGCGUAGGAUUAGCUAGUUGGUGUGGUAAAGGCGCACCAAGGCGACGAUCCUUAGCUGGUCUGAGAGGAUGAUCAGCCACACUGGGACUGAGACACGGCCCAGACUCCUACGGGAGGCAGCGGUGGGGAAUAUUGGACAAUGGGCGAAAGCCUGAUCCAGCAAUGCCGCGUGAGUGAUGAAGGCCUUAGGGUUGUAAGGCUCUUUUACCCGGGAUGAUAAUGACAGUACUGGGAGAAUAAGCUCCGGCUAACUCCGUGCCAGCCGCCGCCGUAA